AGAACGAACGCUGGCGGCAGGCUUAACACAUGCAAGUCGAGCGCCCAGCAAUGGGAGCGGCGGACGGGUGCGUAACACGUGGGAACAUGCCUUUCGGUACGGAACAACUGCGGGAAACUGCAGCUAAUGCCGUAUACGCCCUUACGGGGAAAGAUUUAUCGCCGAAAGAUUGGCCCGCGUCUGAUUAGCUAGUUGGUGAGGUAACGGCUCACCAAGGCUUCGAUCAGUAGCUGGUUUGAGAGAACGACCAGCCACACUGGGACUGAGACACGGCCCAGACUCCUACGGGAGGCAGCAGUGGGGAAUCUUGGACAAUGGGCGAAAGCCUGAUCCAGCCAUGCCGCGUGAGUGAUGAAGGCCUUCGGGUUGUAAAACUCUUUACCUGGGAAGAUAAUGACUGUACCAGGAGAAUAAGCCCGGCUAACUUCGCGCCAGCAGCCGC
Molecule: ribosomal RNA, 442 nt
Filed under: uncultured bacterium
Lineage: Bacteria
Description: SSU rRNA
Rfam family: Bacterial small subunit ribosomal RNA
Source: RNAcentral